UCUAUCCAUAGACAGGGCCCAAUUAAGUGUGGAAGAGACUAAGAGAAAGGAAGGAAGGACCGAAGAAAUGAAGGAAGAUGAAGGAAUGGAUCGAGGGAAUAACAUAAGGGACCAGAGACAAGACAAAGAGAAGAAGCCAGAUAGUAGAGACGAAGGAAACAGAGAGGGAGGAGGAGCAGACAGAAAGGAGGCCAGGGCAGUUGAGGAGGGACAGGUAGACAAGGCAGAAGGACAAGAGUGAGGAAGGGAACAGAAAGGCACAAGGGAGAGGAAGACACAGCAGAGGACAAGAUAAGAUAGAGGCAGACCUGCCCAAGAAAGACGGACCAAAGAAUGACUAGGCGCAUGAGACUUAGAACUCGAAGGGACCUUAAAGGUCAUGGAGUCCAAAUCUCUCAUUUUACAGAUGAGGAAACUAAGGCUCCAUUAAGGUAAAUCUCUUGCUCCCCCUUCACACAGUGCUGGAGACAGGAUUCGAACCCAGGUUUUCCUCACUUUAAGAGUACCCUCUUAGAGUACCCUCUAUUCGUCACACACUGCCGCUUAGUCAGGAAAAAGAAGAAAGUGAAAACUCAAAAUUUGCCUGGAGCUUUAGUGGAAGAAAGUGAAUUGAGUAGUGAAGUGUCUAGUCAAGAGUGGGGCAAGUCAGUCUUUAUCUCUGGGCUUCUGUCUCCUGAUUUCUAAAACGAGGGAACUGGAGUACGUGAACUCCAAGCUGACAUGUCGGGGUUCUGAUGAUGAGAUUCUCUCAAGGGAAGAAUGAAGAAGGGGCCUGUCUUCUUCUUAGAGCGCCAUUCUAUUCUGCACCUCUACUCCCCUACCCCACUUGUCCCGUGGAAGAAUGAGCCUUCCUCUCCUUCCAUCACCUCCCAGGACUGGGGGCCCCAGGUGAGGACGCAACGACACCGUGAUAAGGCUUCACUCCCAGGAACUCGAAGUACCGCUGGUCAAUGA
RNAcentral lists this long non-coding RNA (954 nucleotides) under Phascolarctos cinereus (koala). Its description in RNAcentral is "lncRNA (ENSPCIG00000015883.2)". Lineage: Eukaryota; Metazoa; Chordata; Mammalia; Diprotodontia; Phascolarctidae. The record is from RNAcentral.